RNAcentral lists this non-coding RNA (25 nucleotides) under Rattus norvegicus (Norway rat). Lineage: Eukaryota; Metazoa; Chordata; Mammalia; Rodentia; Muridae. The record is from RNAcentral.
GCCAGUCUUAUAGCACGAAAGGAAG